Molecule: long non-coding RNA, 459 nt
Filed under: Fukomys damarensis (Damara mole-rat)
Lineage: Eukaryota; Metazoa; Chordata; Mammalia; Rodentia; Bathyergidae
Description: lncRNA (ENSFDAG00000033166.1)
Source: RNAcentral
GAGGAAGCUCCUUCCUGCCUGGCUCCCUGCCCAUGGUGGAGGGUCACAAGAACAUGGAACCCAGGGUCCUCAGGGUACUGUCUUAGACCAGGUGAGGCUGUGGCCCCAGGGACAUCUGGUAUGGCUGGUGAUGAAACCAGGGGAGAGGGGUCUCCACCCCCUUCCUUUUCUGACUAAUCCAGCUCCUCCACUAGACACCGUCCCGUGGCUCCCACAUUCCCACCUCAUUUUAUAGUGCCUAGCCCUCCUGGAACCCUUUCAAGAUCACUAGAGGUGGUGGAGGUAGCUACCGUGCGAUGAGUGUCACCUGGUGCUUGGCAAUGAGCUGGGCACACCUGCUCACACCAUGAUCUUAACUGAUCCUCAUCACCACCUGGCAAGGUGGACACUGCUGCCCCCCUGGGGUUCCCAGAGUCACGUACAGAAAUGUCCACGGCUACCACCGAAUAGAGCAAAGGU